Molecule: long non-coding RNA, 1316 nt
Filed under: Anser cygnoides (Swan goose)
Lineage: Eukaryota; Metazoa; Chordata; Aves; Anseriformes; Anatidae
Description: lncRNA (ENSACDG00005006670.1)
Source: RNAcentral
UCCUCAGGAGGACCGGUUUUGAUGACCUAGUCUGAUUACAGCAUCUUUGACAACUUUAAAGGAAUUUGCUCGGGGGAAGACGACAGCUGCUGCUCUGAUGAAGGAUUUUUCUGAGCAGGCCUUCCAAGCAAGACAUGUCAGCAUGAGAUGCUGCCUACGCUUUUCAUCAUGACCAACAGGUGGUUAAACUGCAAUCAAAAGCACUUAGCAAGAAUGGAUCUGUCCCUGUUAUGAGAUUUGAACUCCUGACAUCUUUAUCCACUGGAACUUGAGUGCCCAGGACACACCAGAGAGGGGAUUUUGAGAACAUUUUACAAGCCUUGCAGCUGUGAGCCGGUUACAGCAUGAGGAAAAGCCCUCCAACACCCCAAUGUACAGGAAAGAGAAGCCUCUCUCCAGUUGCCAGGAAAGCCCUGCUUUCCAGCUGCACAACCAGUAUUAUCACUGUGUGCUAUUUUUGGCUGCUGAGUACAUUUCAAGUCACGUCAUCCUUCCCAAGCCAACACUGGCAUGAAGGGCGGAAACUCAUCUUUCCACUCCUUUGUCAUCUGCUGCUGCUCCCGUCUGCUCGCUGGCACUGCCUGCUCAGUCCCCGCGGCAGAGGGGUCUCCAGACAUUUUUCCCUGAUCCUCCCCAUUUCCUUGAGCGAGUGGCUUUCCAACCAAAGCUUCGUGUGGGAGGCUUCAUGUUGGCAUCCAGAGUACAUGUCCCAAAUAUGUCCAGACCCACCUUCUGAUCGUAGUGCACAGGAGCUCCUGGUAAGUAAUCUCUUGAUGGGUGAUAGUGUCCUCGUGCCCAACGCCCAGAAUUUUUCACAAGUGCCUUAUUUUUAAUGUCAUAUUCUUUCCAAACUAACAGUUCGGUAGGUUUCCAGCUCUUGUCAUACCUGUUAACACUGGGUCGCUGUCUGAGAGGAAAUUAUACCUUUUUUUUUUUUCCUGACACUGUGCAGCUUUGAUUUCCCUAGUUUGUUAAAGCCUAGUAAAUAUUAUAAAUGUCACUUCCUUUUUAAGGUUUUCGUUGGCUUGGUGCUAUCCCACCACCUAGCUGUUUAAUGUUUUUCUGUUCUGAUGUGACAUUGCUGUUGGGUGUUUGGAAAAUCUCAUAUGGACAAAAGUGUCUCGUGGAGUUAUGAAUCUCUUCAAAUAUAAGGUUUGGUUUCCUUGAAUGUACCACUGGAGGACUCCUCUCAGACAAAGCUGUAACCACUGCUAGUCUGAGCUGGGCAUCUUGUGUUGUGCCUCCCCGAAGCUGCUUCCUUUUUCCACAAAAUAAUUAAACAUUCAUUAUGCCAGAAAGUGUGUGUUUGUGUGUGU